Cyprinus carpio carpio is the source of this 4985-nucleotide long non-coding RNA. The record is from Ensembl. NCBI's taxonomy places the organism in Eukaryota, Metazoa, Chordata, Actinopteri, Cypriniformes, Cyprinidae.
CCCUUAUGGCUGCUCUGGCUGAACUACAGUUUCCGGUUGAUGGCAGUCAGGUCUCGCGAGUCUCUGGCGGCUCAACAGUGAUCGCGCGCGAACAGCACAGCUGUACUGAGGUAACCAGAAAACUGCGUUUUUUGCGUCGAUCUGAUCUUCAAACUCGGUUUUUAAAACGAUGGACAUGUUGGACAUGUUAUUACAACAAACAGACUGUCGACAUUCCGAGAGAGAGUGAAUAUCUUGGUUCUCAGUGAGGUUACUACCAAAUCUGUCUCUAUGAAACUGCGGCGCAAGACAGUCCUGAGAAGCAGAAGGCUUCAACAGCAAGAGCAUGUGAAGGACUCUGUGGUGCUGAGUGACACUGACUCUAGUGUGGAGGAUAUAAAAGACAAUGUGUCUGUUAUUCGUGAUAUGAAGAGGCCAGUAAGGAAGAGUAGAGCUGGUGCAUCAUGUCGAGCGAGAAAAGAAUAUGAGAGACAGCUUUCUGAUGUGGAACCACAGCAUGGAGCGGUUCAGAAGAUCUCCCUGGCUCCAGAUGCUAUCGCUGAGGACACUCUAGGGAAACUCAGGCUGAGGGCUAACACCUCUGAGACCAAGACUGAGGUUGAGUCUCGAGGAGAGCUUGAGUCUGUUUUGGAAGAAUCCAGUACCGAUCUCAUGGUGGAAUCGGGUCCCAGCUCGCCCUCUUGUCAUGUUUAUACUGUAAGAUGCAGAGAAUGCCAGAGACUUUUCGCCAAGAUGAGAAAACAGCCGACCCCAAAACAGAAAAGCAAAGAUACAAAUCCAGCAUCUUUAUCUUGUGAUGUGUGGGUUCUGCUUAAGAAGUGGCACCCUCAGAGACGCCACCAUCGGGAGAAGGGAUUAUUGUGGACAAGCCUGAGUCGGAUCAGGAAGCUGUUAGCAGGAGGCUCUGAUUCUUCAGUCAUCAACACAGCUCAAGCAAACUGCUCCAGACCUCAUGUGUUUCAGCAGAGAAAUUUGCGUCGCUGCAAGGAUCUGCUCUCCAUUCAGACCAACCUGUCCAUUAACAAAGCCAAACCACGGCAUCGUAAGAGGUCACGAUCUGUGGUCUGGCCGCCCAUCGCUGGCUGGCAGUCUUCUGUGAAAAGGAAGCCUUCCUUGAACAGCACAUUAUCUCAGCAGCUUUAUCCACUCGACCUUAGUGUGAAGCAGAAGGACAAACUUCUUGUAGAUGACAAGAUUUCAAGAUUAAAUGCAGAUUUGAAGCAGAACUCAGAGGUCUCUAGCAAACAGAGGACGACUUAUGUCCGGGGUAAAUCGAACAAGCAGGAAGUGUCUGAUGGCAUAGAUGGAACGCGGCGGGUGCUGAAGUUUGAUGACACCACUAAAACUGUUGCUGUGGAAACAGCGGAACAGAGGAAAAGCCCUCGGCAGAAGCACAAACGUGGAGAGAUUCGUCAAGCUCAGAACGGUUUCCAGAAUGAGCAGCAGGAAGAGAUUUCUGAGGAUUUGGAUGGGUUCAGGACACCCACAGAUCUGUUCAGCGUGAAGCCCAAGAUUAAACGAGGGAACCAGAAGAAAGUGUCUGCGUCUGGUGUUACAAAACCUGCCGUACAGAAGCCCAACUUCAUGUCAAUGUUAUCCACACUGGUGAAGAAUCAGAACCAGAUUAUUAAGGAAUCCUGCAAAUGAGUCUCUAUUGAAGUUUUGUAAUUAGGGCUUUUAGUCAUUUUGUUUAAUUGAAGAGACACGUCACAACUGUAAAGGUUUGCUAAUUCUGUUAAUAGAUAUCAUCAAAAGUCUGCUGAUGUUUAUUUAUUGUUCCAGUUGUUUGUGUUCUAACAUUAGCAUUUGCAUGAGUAAAUAAGUCUUGUUUUAGUAUGCUGUUGACUUCACAGUGGCUUGAACCGCAGUUACUGUAAUAACCACAGAGCGGAGCUGUUUCCAAAUAAACUUGCAUAUCUUCACUCCUAUAUUUUUAAAUAUUACAAUAUAUGACUUAAAAAAUAUAUUUUCUCACACUUUUAUCAAACUGAUUUAAGGUGAUGGUAAGCGAAACGUGUGUGGAUUUUUAUUUUUUGUGGGUUAAAUUUUCAAUAGCUUUUUGCUACCAAGCCACCCUGAGAAACAUUCACUGGAUCUUAGACUAUCCCAAUUAACUAUCCCAAUAUUUAUAACAAAUAAAUAAUAAUAAAAAAAAAAUCUUAAUAUAAUACUAUGGAAAUGUUAUAUUUACAUAAAAUUUAUUUUAUUUUUGCAGGGUCUCAUGAUGAUAAAAGAGCCAAAAUGCUUCAGAAUAACUUUUUUAACUCGAAAAUAAAAACUGCCCACAAGGCAAGUCUUCUGCUGUUUUAACACUCAGUGGUUUUAAAUUGAUUUACAUACAUAAAAAGCUUUAAAGUGUGAUGUGUGCUGUUAUUGGUGCUGAUGUUGAGGGGUUGGGCUCAGUGACUCCACUGUCACAACCUAAAAGCGCACUGAUCCAUCACACAACAUCACUUUAGGAAGAGCGAGCGGGCAAGGAUGCAGCAAAACCGGACUUUUACCCAGGGGACUGCUUAGAGAGCAGUUUUAUUAUUGUUAUUAUUAUAAUUUUCUUUUAGAUGGACAAUCACAUCCACACAUAAUCGUGUUAAGGUUAUGUGAGUGUUGCAGAGGAAAGCCAUGCAACCAAAUGAGCAGAGCUAAGAGGAUUUAAUGCAGCUGGACAUGAACCACGCUGAGUAAAGAAGAAGAUUAUAUUCUUUUAAUCAAAUGCAAAGAAGUUUUUAUUGCUGGUCACUUUGAGUUUGGACUGUCGAGGAGCGAUGUUUGUCUUCAUCUCUUUGUGCACUCCGAUAACUACACUAUAAGUAUGCUCACUGCACAGAGAUGUAUGGGUUCAACUCUACAGUAAAGGGGUGAGUUAUACUACAACUGAUUACUGAUUAUUACACAUAAUUUGCUAUUUUAUUUAUAUGGUAAAGCUUUUGCGUUACUUAGUUUGGUGCCCUUAUUUCAUGUAAUAUCAUGACUUUAUAUAACAACAAAAAAAAAAAAAACUAUAAACCUCUUCUCAAAAUAAUUGCUUGUUCAUUAAUAUUGCUCAGUACUUAUUUGGGAACUUGACAUUUUAAGCUGUGAAAGCUCUGCGGUUUCCUGCAGUGUCAUUCUGUGCUCCAUUUAAAGCUAAUUUAAACAACAUUACUGUAAUUUUAUUGAACGUUUUUAUGACUUCAAGAGGCUGCAUGGUGUGUUUGUAAUUUUUAACAUUUAUUUGUCACACCGCAGGAUCUGCGAAAACAUUAAGAGGUUAAUAAAAUGGUAAAAGCUUAAUUAAAACAGUAAACCAGUUUUAUAGCUUUUUACUUUCUGUUUACAUUCAUAUACAUUUUAACUUGUUUGCAACAUAAUUAUACCGUUAAAUGAAAUAACAUAACUUUUGACCAUUUCUUGUUAUUUGUUGUUUGUUUGUUAACACUAAUUUCCUAUAUUUCCUCAUAUCUUGAGCAUGAUAGGUUUUGUGCUUUUAGGAAUACUGACACAAGACCUUGCCACGGGUGGACCUGAUCUUUACUAAACCAGAUCUGGACUCAAAAAACACAUGAAGAUGUGCCAGUGUUAUUCUGCCCUGCUUAUGAUCUGCUUCCACAUGGUGACAUGUGGAGCAGAGCUCAGAGCAGCUGUGUCUCCUCUGGGUUUGGGAGAGAGUGAUAAGGAGGAAAGCGUCUCUCCUUACGGCUCUCAUUCAGGCAUUCUCAAAUCCCUGCGGCUUUUCUCCCACAUGUCCCAAUCUAACAGCCAGAGCCGUGAAACUGCUCAGGACCUUGGGGCACUGGAUCUGUGGGCUUGGUUAUCCAACCACACUGAUACCGAAGGAACCCUCUCGAGGGCCAAACGUCGUCCCUAUGUGAAAACUGGCAAGUUUAAGAAGAUGUUUGGCUGGGGCGACUUCCAUUCGAACAUCAAAACGGUCAAGCUAAACCUUCUCAUUACUGGGAAAAUUGUUGACCAUGGCAACGGAACCUUUAGUGUCUAUUUCCGCCACAAUUCCACCGGCUUGGGCAACGUGUCCGUCAGCCUGGUCCCACCCUCCAAGGCUGUCGAUUUUGAGAUCACUCAACAGGAAACCAUAGAUGUACCUAAAGACAAUAAGGCCUUCAAUUGUCGAGUGGAAUAUGAGAAGACGGACCGCAGCAAGAGGACGUCCGUUUGCAGUGACUUCCCGAACAGGGUAUGUUUCCAGGAACAGACCCAAAGCCAUGUGUCUUGGCUUUGCUCCAAGCCCUUCAAGGUCAUCUGCAUCUACAUUGACUUCUUCAGUGCAGACUACAAGCUCGUACAGAAGGUCUGCCCAGACUACAACUACCACAGUGAGACUCCCUAUACCUCUGUGGGAUAGCACAGCCUAGACUGGAUGUGUUGAGGUAACUGAGGUGUCGUCACAUUGUUACAGUCUCUCUAGCCUGUAGUUUCCUUGUUCUGUUCCACAAAGAACCACAUAAAUGGAAGCAAGGCCAGACUGAGGAACCACUGUUUUGAUUCUAUCUUACUUGUCCUUCUAGGGCUGUCGAGGACAGGAAUAGUUCACCCAAAAAAGACAUGUUAUUUCUGUUAUCAUUUUCCACAGAAGAAAGUCAGUCAACAUGAGGGAGAAUAAAUGACAGAAUUUGAAUUUUUGGAUGAACCCAUGCUUAACCCAGGCUGAUUUACGAUUUACAGUAUGCAGUUCACACUUAGCUUGGACAUGAUCAACACAUCUAUGGUUUCUAACAGUGACCCCCUGACCCUUUCUCAGUGAAUCUUGUGAUGUCAUCAGUGUGAUGUUUUAAAAUAUCCAAAUCAAAUGUAAGCUGUGAUUCAAGAACAAAAAAAAAAAAAAAAACUUGUAUUGCAGCCAUUUGUGACGCCCUCCUUUUCAUGCCAACAUAUUUUUGUGUUCACUGAAACAUUGCUAUAACUAAGAUUGAUGUUGAAGCCAUAAUGUGCUCCUCCAUUCUUUUGUCUCUGUUAUUAAAGAAAAGACUAGAUUUUAGUUUCCAGAAUGCUCC